RNAcentral lists this ribosomal RNA (357 nucleotides) under Triticum aestivum (bread wheat). Its description in RNAcentral is "partial small subunit ribosomal RNA". The record is from RNAcentral. Lineage: Eukaryota; Viridiplantae; Streptophyta; Magnoliopsida; Poales; Poaceae.
AUGCCAGCUAGGAUUCAGUGGAGUCUCUGGGGUCCAAAUUGGGCAUUACUGCUAAAGAGGACAACGACAAGGACAAAGAUGUGCCUACCAGAAGAAGUGAUAGGAACUUGGACAAAAAAGAUGCUAGGAUUGAAGAUUUGGCCAAGGAAAGAGCUGCUGACAAGGAUAAUUAUGGCUAGAAGAAAUUUAUAUCUCCAAAACAUUAAAAACCAAGAAGAGGAGGAAAGAACAAAAAGCUCUCCAAGUCCUAUUGACAUUGGAGAUGCUGUGUUAGAGGAUUUAUGUUUGGGGGAUGACCACUCUGAUGCAGAGUUGGAAUUGGAUUACUAUGAUAAUUUGGAAAAAAAUCUUUUCUAG